Molecule: unclassified non-coding RNA, 2081 nt
Filed under: Channa diplogramma (Malabar snakehead)
Lineage: Eukaryota; Metazoa; Chordata; Actinopteri; Anabantiformes; Channidae
Description: partial contains 12S small subunit ribosomal RNA, tRNA-Val, and 16S large subunit ribosomal RNA
Rfam family: Bacterial large subunit ribosomal RNA (bases 678-2081)
Source: RNAcentral
GCCUAGCCUUAAACAUUGAUAGCAUCCUACCCCCGCUAUCCGCCCGGGUACUACGAGCAUCAGCUUAAAACCCAAAGGACUUGGCGGUGCUUAAGAUCCACCUAGAGGAGCCUGUUCUAGAACCGAUAACCCCCGUUCAACCUCACCCUCCCUUGUCUUUUCCGCCUAUAUACCGCCGUCGUCAGCUUACCCUGUGAAGGACUAAUAGUAAGCAAAAUUGGUAAAACCUAAAACGUCAGGUCGAGGUGUAGCGCAUGAGAGGGGAAGAAAUGGGCUACAUUCACUAAUUUAGUGAAUACGAAUGAUGCACUGAAACGUACAUCCGAAGGAGGAUUUAGUAGUAAUCAGAAAAUAGAGCGUCCUGCUGAAACUGGCUCUAAAGCGCGCACACACCGCCCGUCACCCUCUCCUAACUCAACACCACAAAUAAUUAAUAUCAGACAUUCGUUAAGGGGAGGCAAGUCGUAACAUGGUAAGUGUACCGGAAGGUGCACUUGGAAAAAUCAGAGCGUAGCUAAAUUAGGAAAGCAUCUCCCUUACACCGAGAAGUCAUCCGUGCAAACCGGAUCGCCCUGAUACCAAACAGCUAGCCCCACCACACAAAAUAAAACCACCACUAUAAAUACCCCCAAACACACGACCUAAACAACCAACUAAACCAUUCUACCCCCUCAGUACGGGAGACGGAAAAGGAACCUGGAGCUAUAGAAAAAGUACCGCAAGGGAACGCUGAAAAAGAAAUGAAACAACCCAGUAAAGUUAAAAAAAGCAGAGACUAAAACUCGUACCUUUUGCAUCAUGAUUUAGCCAGAAACCCCCAAGCAAAGAGCACUAUAGUUUGACACCCCGAAACUAAGUGAGCUACUCCAAGACAGCCUAUUUUGGGCCAACCCGUCUCUGUGGCAAAAGAGUGGGACGAGCUUCGAGUAGAGGUGACAGACCUACCGAACUUAGUUAUAGCUGGUUGCCUAGAAAAUGAAUAUAAGUUCAGCCUCCCGGCUUCUCCACUCCCACAGUCCUUAAUCCCUUAGACACCUAAAGAAACCGAGAGAGUUAGUCAAAGGAGGUACAGCCCCUUUGAAACAAGACACAACUUUACGAGAUAGGUAAAGAUCAUAAUGCCCCAAGGAUAAAUGUUUUAGUGGGCCUAAAAGCAGCCACCUAAACAGAAAGCGUUAAAGCUCAAACAUAAUAACCCCCCAUAAUCCUGAUAACCCAAUCUUAUCCCCCUCCCACCAACUAGGCUUUUCCAUGCAAACAUGGAAGCAAUAAUGCUAAUAUGAGUAAUAAGAGAGGGACACCUCUCUCCUCGCACGCACAUACAUCGGAACGGACAACCCACCGAACAUUAACCGGCCCCAAACAAAGAGGGUAAUGAGCAACCAACGAACAACCAGAAAACCGCCCAAAAAUAACCGUUAAGCCCACACUGGCGUGCUCACAAGGAAAGACCCAAAGAAAAAGAAGGAACUCGGCAAACACCCCAGGCCUCGCCUGUUUACCAAAAACAUCGCCUCUUGUAAACCAAAAAUAAGAGGUCCCGCCUGCCCAGUGACAAUAAGUUUAACGGCCGCGGUAUUUUGACCGUGCAAAGGUAGCGCAAUCACUUGUCUUUUAAAUGAAGACCCGUAUGAAUGGCACAACGAGGGCCUAACUGUCUCCUUUUUCAAGUCAAUGAAAUUGAUCUCCCCGUGCAGAAGCGGGAAUAAGAACAUAAGACGAGAAGACCCUAUGGAGCUUUAGACACCAAAACAGACUUUGUUAAACACCCCUAAACACGAGACAAAACCAAAAAGACCCUGUUCUGAUGUCUUUGGUUGGGGCGACCGCGGGGGAUACAAAUCCCCCAUGUGGAUUGGGAGGCCCUCUCCUACAGCCAAGAGCUACAGCUCUAAGCAAUAGAACUUCUAACCUAAAGAUCCGGCAAAGCCGAUCAACGAACCGAGUUACCCUAGGGAUAACAGCGCAAUCCCCUUCUAGAGCCCAUAUCGACAAGGGGGUUUACGACCUCGAUGUUGGAUCAGGACAUCCUAAUGGUGCAGCCGCUAUUAAGGGUUCGUUUGUUCAACGAUUAAAGUCCU